Molecule: small nuclear RNA, 105 nt
Organism: Cricetulus griseus (Chinese hamster)
Lineage: Eukaryota; Metazoa; Chordata; Mammalia; Rodentia; Cricetidae
Source: Ensembl
UACCUUUAGGUGGGUCAAAUACUGAAAUCAAACAAUGCACAAAUUAGCAUAUCCCCAGUGCAAGGAUGACAGGCAAAUUCACAGAGCAUUUCUUUCCACAUUUUU